AGUCUUAUAUUCAACAAUGAUUUUAAAUUGCAAAUUUAAAGGUGGAUAUAUCCUAAGGCUU
This 61-nucleotide transfer RNA is filed under the name Hydraena nigrita. RNAcentral's name for it is "tRNA-Cys". Lineage: Eukaryota; Metazoa; Arthropoda; Insecta; Coleoptera; Hydraenidae. The record is from RNAcentral.